Molecule: transfer RNA, 68 nt
Filed under: Pyroteuthis margaritifera
Lineage: Eukaryota; Metazoa; Mollusca; Cephalopoda; Oegopsida; Pyroteuthidae
Description: tRNA-Thr
Rfam family: tRNA
About the family: Transfer RNA (tRNA) molecules are approximately 80 nucleotides in length.
Source: RNAcentral
GUUAUAAUAGUUUAAUUGUAAAAACUUUGGUCUUGUAAACCAAUAUUAGACUAUAAGUCUUUAUAACU